GUGGAUUCUCUUCUGGAAAGCCUAGAAAA
RNAcentral lists this non-coding RNA (29 nucleotides) under Cricetulus griseus (Chinese hamster). The record is from RNAcentral. Lineage: Eukaryota; Metazoa; Chordata; Mammalia; Rodentia; Cricetidae.